GACUCUGAGCAGUGGAUCACUUGGCUUAUAUGUCAAUGAAGAAUGCAGCUUACUGCUAGAACUAAUGUGAAUUGCAGAACACAUUAAUCAUCGGCACUUCAAACGCAGUUUGCAGCCCUGGGUUACUCCCGGUGCUACGCCUGUCUGAGGGUCA
Ribosomal RNA from Protopterus annectens (West African lungfish), 154 nucleotides. RefSeq annotates it as 5.8S ribosomal RNA. NCBI's taxonomy places the organism in Eukaryota, Metazoa, Chordata, Ceratodontiformes, Protopteridae. The record is from RefSeq and is a predicted model, not a curated record. The transcript has a single exon.